Molecule: ribosomal RNA, 202 nt
Filed under: uncultured Rhizophagus
Lineage: Eukaryota; Fungi; Glomeromycota; Glomeromycetes; Glomerales; Glomeraceae
Description: partial 18S ribosomal RNA
Rfam family: Eukaryotic small subunit ribosomal RNA
Source: RNAcentral
AGCAGCCGCGGUAAUUCCAGCUCCAAUAGCGUAUAUUAAAGUUGCUGCAGUUAAAAAGCUCGUAGUUGAAUUUCUGGCUUGCAACCUUAAGCCGGCCACGGUUUCGUGUGUUAGUGCUUGAGGUUCUGGCCAUCCUUCCAAUCGCUGCCGUUCUGCCUUAACUGAUAGGGCGGUGGUAUUGGAUCUUUUACUUUGAACAAAU